Molecule: long non-coding RNA, 1518 nt
Filed under: Anas platyrhynchos platyrhynchos (common mallard)
Lineage: Eukaryota; Metazoa; Chordata; Aves; Anseriformes; Anatidae
Description: lncRNA (ENSAPLG00000029642.1)
Source: RNAcentral
CUCGAGAGCAUGUGGGCUAAAACCUGGGAGAUGCUGGGUACUUGCAUCUCUUACUGAAUAGUCUUUUAUCAGCCUAUUUAGGUUAUCCCAGUUUAACCCUAUAGUUCCUUCCAGCAAUUCAAUGACUCAGAUUAACUAGACACUUGGCCAGUGUCGAGCUCCAGGCUGAAGGUUGGAGAGAGGCUAGUCCCCAGACAAAUGAUGCAUGGAAUUUGUAUCUGUGUGUUGCCAUGCCGACGCCGUGCACAGAUUGCUCAAGAUUCAGCAGGACUUGGCAGGGACCUUUUUGCUUCCCAGAGACUCAAUGACAGUUUCAACAUGGGAGAGUAUGGUGUCAAGAUAACAGUCAUAUCAUCCGUCAUCGCAGAACAUCUACGUGGGCUGCCAAGAAAAUGAGACUCUUUUAUCUCUGGCUUCUCUAAGUGCUUGCGUUUUAGCGAUUGUUUCUCAUAACGUGCUUGAUUGUUUUCUGAAACCUGACCGUCAGCAGCUCCAUUAUGUUGUCACCUCAACCUAAAGUGAAUUGAAGGCUCUCAAGGAAGCAGGGCUGCCUGGAGAAACCAGGGGAAGGCAGCGGAGGGAGUGUCUUCCAGAGGCACUGGGGAAGUGGUGCUUAGAAAGUAACACAACAAUAGAGAGGCUGGAAACGAAACCGCAGGCGGACAGUGAAGAAUCUGCGAGAGGUGCAUUGCACCACACUGCUCCUCUGUGACCUUUUGAUUCAAAAGGUUUGGGGCAUUAGUCAGAUAGGAUGUGAAAUUUUCCAUGGCAUUAGGUAUUCCUUGCACUUAAAAACAUUCUACAUUUGUUAGAAGCAGGAUGAAUGUGACUUUAAAUAGCAAGUAGGCAGCUAACGACUGCAUCUCAAGGCAUGUUUUGAUGGAACAUAGCCAUGACUUGAACUAUAAACAAGAGAAAAUAAGGGCACAAUCCUACUAUUUCAAUGAAAUAACUCACCCUUUUAUUGGGGAUAAUUUACAUAAGCUUUGAGGGAGAUUUAUCUCAUCCAAGCAGAACUGACACAUAGCUAGAUAUAGAAGACGCAAUGUGUACUUCUGAUUUUAAAGAAAGGUAUUGUGAUCCCUGCACACGGCUGUGAAAAUGAGUCUCCUGCAAACAGAGAGUUGUCAGUAAACUCAACACCUGAUGAACACACAUCUGUUCAGGACAAUUAACCUGCCCAGAUCUGAGUUUCUGACUUAACAAAGGGAACCACUGACUGCAAAUGAGAUUUCAGUGCUUCUGAAGAUGUUACUGCUCAUGGACCACAUAGCCACUGUGGCCCAAGGCAGGAAAUAACUGAGUCAUAUCCCUUUCAGUCCUUUUUCCUUAAAAUGCUGAUUUCCACUACACCUCUGCUGCUACAGCAGAACAUGGCCGGCAUGUCAUUUUUAAGAAAGAGCAAGCCUUUAAAGCGUCCAGUCAUGUCCUGGCACCUGCAGAAGAGCUGGCUGGAUAAGAACCUCUGAGUGGAUCUUAAUCUUGGCAAAAGAAAAAAUAAAACUUUGGACAAAAUCA